GACAGAGGCCACGAACGUUGUUCGGAAUCACUGGGCAUAAAGCGCACGUAGGCGGCUGGGUCCGUCCGAUGUGAAAGCCCCCGGCUCAACCGGGGAAUUGCAUCGGAUACAGCCCGGCUUGAGGACGGUUGGGGUGAGUGGAACUCCUGGUGGAGCGGUGAAAUGCGUAGAUAUCAGGAGGAACACCGGUGGCGAAAGCGGCUCACUGGACCGUUUCUGACGCUGAGGUGCGAAAGCUAGGGGAGCAAACGGG
Molecule: ribosomal RNA, 253 nt
Filed under: uncultured bacterium
Lineage: Bacteria
Description: partial 16S ribosomal RNA
Rfam family: Bacterial small subunit ribosomal RNA
Source: RNAcentral